GACGAACGCUGGCGGCGUGCCUAAUACAUGCAAGUUGAGCGCUGAAGGUUGGUACUUGUACCGACUGGAUGAGCAGCGAACGGGUGAGUAACGCGUGGGGAAUCUGCCUUUGAGCGGGGGACAACAUUUGGAAACGAAUGCUAAUACCGCAUAAAAACUUUAAACACAAGUUUUAAGUUUGAAAGAUGCAAUUGCAUCACUCAAAGAUGAUCCCGCGUUGUAUUAGCUAGUUGGUGAGGUAAAGGCUCACCAAGGCGAUGAUACAUAGCCGACCUGAGAGGGUGAUCGGCCACAUUGGGACUGAGACACGGCCCAAACUCCUACGGGAGGCAGCAGUAGGGAAUCUUCGGCAAUGGACGAAAGUCUGACCGAGCAACGCCGCGUGAGUGAAGAAGGUUUUCGGAUCGUGAAACUCUGUUGGUAGAGAAGAACGUUGGUGAGAGUGGAAAGCUCAUCAAGUGACGGUAACUACCCAGAAAGGGACGGCUAACUACGUG
This 497-nucleotide ribosomal RNA is filed under the name uncultured bacterium. Its description in RNAcentral is "partial 16S ribosomal RNA". It matches the Rfam family "Bacterial small subunit ribosomal RNA", at positions 28 to 507 of the family's 1533-position model. The record is from RNAcentral.